Molecule: small nucleolar RNA, 130 nt
Organism: Euleptes europaea (tarantolino)
Lineage: Eukaryota; Metazoa; Chordata; Lepidosauria; Squamata; Sphaerodactylidae
Product: small nucleolar RNA SNORA27
Exons: 1
Source: RefSeq, a predicted model, not a curated record
AUCUCCCCCUUCACUUUGCCACUGAGACGUUUCUUGUCUCCAUUGGCCAUUCAAGUGGGGUAAAGAAUAUCCUUUUAAAACCCAACCAGAUUGUACUUAAUUGGCUUGGAUCCUGUCAGAGGAAACAGAA